GGGUUCAUGGCCUAAUGGUAAGGCGUCAGAUUUCGGUUCUGUAUGGGUGUUUGCCACCACCGUAUAGAAUAACUGUUCUCUGAAGAUUGCAGGUUCGAUCCCUGCUGAGCUCG
Non-coding RNA from Rostrohypoxylon terebratum, 113 nucleotides. The record is from the annotation of a GenBank genome assembly. NCBI's taxonomy places the organism in Eukaryota, Fungi, Ascomycota, Sordariomycetes, Xylariales, Hypoxylaceae.